This is a non-coding RNA of Actinobacteria bacterium RBG_16_64_13, 100 nucleotides long. The record is from Rfam. Lineage: Bacteria; Bacillati; Actinomycetota.
UAGGCGGAUUCCAAGACGUGCGAUUGUCAGGCCGGGCACGAGAAGACAAUCACCGGACUCACAGCGAUGCUGGCAGGGGUCAGCUCGAUCUACGGGGCCG